UAUAUGACAGAAAUAUAAAACAUAUAAAAUUAUUUGUGAUUUCAAUAAAAUCAUGGGUCCCAAGUUGUUACCCCACAUCAAUAAAAUAUACUCUCGUAAUCCUCCCCUUUCUAUCCUCACUCCGCUCCAAUCUCUCGUCUCCCAGUUCUCCGCUCUUCCCACAUUCGAUCACCGGUCACCGAUAUCCGAUCUCCGACAUACAACAAGAUCUUGUUUUCUCUUAACGUCAGUGCAUGAAAGUUGAUUUUUUUCCCUUCAUUUUCAUGAAAAAUAUUGUCUGUUGUGAAUUUUAAUGGGUAUUAUGCAGCUUUUAUUCUUAUUUGUGAGUUAAUAAUUUGUGAAUUUUAAUGGGUAUUAUCCAGGUUCAUCGUUUGCUUGAUGCGGUGGCGCGUGACAGUGUGAGCUCGUGCAGCGGUCCCUGGAGCAGUGGAGUGUGAGAUGUAAAGUGUUGGAGUACUGGAUUGAGAGCAGCGGGGCCUCCCUUUCUUUCGAAGUUGUAAUGUUAAUUGUUAGAAUUAAAAGGCCAGAGGCAAGAAAAUAAUUUUUUUCAUAUAUUACCGUCUAUUCUACAAUAAUAUAAAUAUACAAGUUAUUGAAACAAUUACAAAGAGAAAGUUAAAGAAAAAAUAAAUGAAGAAAAAUAUUUGGUAUAAAAAAAGAUGAGAGAAAGAUGAGAAAAAUAAAGAAGAAAAUAAAAGAGAGAGA
RNAcentral lists this long non-coding RNA (705 nucleotides) under Citrus maxima (pomelo). RNAcentral's name for it is "long non-coding RNA (CMAX_LNC001202)". The record is from RNAcentral. Lineage: Eukaryota; Viridiplantae; Streptophyta; Magnoliopsida; Sapindales; Rutaceae.